CCCUUAGAUGUUCUGGGCUGCACGCGCGCUACACUGAUACUUUCACUCGCCACCACCUUGCCUGGGAGGGUGGGGUAACCUCUGGAAAGUGCAUCGUGAUGGGGAUCGAUUAUUGUAAUUAUUAAUCUUCAACGAGGAAUUCCUAGUAAGCAUGUGUCAUCAGCCCGUGCUGAUUACGUCCCUGCCCUUUGUACACACCGCCCGUCGCACCUACCGAUUGAAUGGUCCGGUGAACCCUCCGGAUCGGCUCGCGCCAACGCAAGUUGAGCAAAGGCCGAGAAGUUGGGUAAACCUUACCAUUUAGAGGAAGGUGAANUCGUANCA
RNAcentral lists this ribosomal RNA (324 nucleotides) under uncultured eukaryote. RNAcentral's name for it is "partial 18S ribosomal RNA". It matches the Rfam family "Eukaryotic small subunit ribosomal RNA", at positions 1470 to 1796 of the family's 1831-position model. The record is from RNAcentral.